AGCGAACGUUUGCGGCGGGCCUAACACAUGCAAGUCGAACGCACUAGCAAUAGUGAGUGGCGCACGGGUGCGUAACACGUGGGUAAUCAACCCUUCAGCUUGGGAUAACGACUUGAAAGGGUCGCUAAUACCGGAUACGGCGCGAGAGGCUUCGGCUUCUCACGAGAAAGCCUCGCAAGGGGGCACUGAAGGACGAGCCUGCGGCCCAUCAGCUAGUUGGUGAGGUAAGAGCUCACCAAGGCUAAGACGGGUAGCUGGUCUGAGAGGAUGAUCAGCCACACUGGAACUGAGACACGGUCCAGACUCCUACGGGAGGCAGCAGUGGGGAAUAUUGCGCAAUGGGCGAAAGCCUGACGCAGCCACGCCGCGUGAGCGAUGAAGGCCUCGGUUGUAAG
This 395-nucleotide ribosomal RNA is filed under the name uncultured bacterium. RNAcentral describes it as "bacterial SSU rRNA". It matches the Rfam family "Bacterial small subunit ribosomal RNA", at positions 29 to 429 of the family's 1533-position model. The record is from RNAcentral.